UGAGGAAGUAAAAGUCGUAACAAGGUCUCCGUUGGUGAACCAGCGGAGGGAUCAUUACCGAGUUUACACUCCCAAACCCCUGUGGACCUCUACCUAUUACUGUUGCCUCGGCGGGCACGGGCGGGGACGCCCCCUCGCGGGGGCACCGGGGCCAGGCGCCCGCCGGAGGGCCCAAACCCUUCUGUAUUCUCUUACGCAUGUCUGAGUGGAUUUACAAAUGAAUCAAAACUUUCAACAACGGAUCUCUUGGUUCUGGCAUCGAUGAAGAACGCAGCGAAAUGCGAUAAGUAAUGUGAAUUGCAUAAUUCAGUGAAUCAUCGAAUCUUUGAACGCACAUUGCGCCCGCCAGUAUUCUGGCGGGCAUGCCUGUCUGAGCGUCAUUUCAACCCUCACGCCCCUAGGGCGUGGUGUUGGGGAUCGGCCAUGCGCCCGCGAGGGACGGCCGGCCCCUAAAUCUAGUGGCGGACCCGUCGUGGCCUCCCCUGCGAAGUAGUGAUAUUCCGCAUAGGAGAGCGACGAGCCCCUGCCGUUAAACCCCCAACUUUCUCAGGUUGACCUCAGAUCAGGUAGGAAUACCCGCUGAACUUAAGCAUAUCAAUAAACGGAGGAA
Molecule: ribosomal RNA, 610 nt
Filed under: uncultured Epichloe
Lineage: Eukaryota; Fungi; Ascomycota; Sordariomycetes; Hypocreales; Clavicipitaceae
Description: eukaryotic LSU rRNA
Rfam family: 5.8S ribosomal RNA (bases 227-380)
Source: RNAcentral